CUGUGCAAAGGUAGCAUAAUCAUUAGCUUUUUAAUUGAAGGCUUGUAUGAAUGGUCGGACAAAGUAAAAGCUGUCUUUAAUUUUAUUUUUUGAAUUUAACUUUUAAGUGAAAAGGCUUAAAUGAGUUUAAGGGACGAUAAGACCCUAUAAAUCUUUAUAUUAAAUUGUUAUUUUGAAAUUUAAUGGGUUUGUUUAAAUAAACAAAAAAACAAAAAAUAUUUUGUUGGGGUGAUGAGAAUAUAAAAAUAACUGUUCUUAUUUUAUUCAAAGUUAUUUGUUUAAGAUUAGUAGAUCCUUUAUUUAAGAUUAAAAGUUUAAGUUACUUUAGGGAUAACAGCGUUAUUUUUUUUGAGAGUUCUUAUCGAAAAAAAAGUUUGCGACCUCGAUGUUGAAUUAAAAUUUCUCUACGGUGUAGAAGUUGUAGUAGAGAGUCUGUUCGACUUUUGAAAUUUU
Molecule: ribosomal RNA, 453 nt
Filed under: Paramunida aff. longior PC-2010
Lineage: Eukaryota; Metazoa; Arthropoda; Malacostraca; Decapoda; Munididae
Description: partial 16S ribosomal RNA
Rfam family: Bacterial large subunit ribosomal RNA
Source: RNAcentral